This 849-nucleotide ribosomal RNA is filed under the name Triticum aestivum (bread wheat). RNAcentral describes it as "partial small subunit ribosomal RNA". Lineage: Eukaryota; Viridiplantae; Streptophyta; Magnoliopsida; Poales; Poaceae. The record is from RNAcentral.
AGAGCGGGCAAUUACACCAACGUCGAUGACAUCUUACUAUGCAAUACUUGGUUGCAAGUGUCGAGGGAUCCAUCCGUUGGAGGUGAUCAAAGUAGAGAUGCUUAUUGGGGGCGGAUGAAAGAACACUUUGAUGUUCACAACUUGAGUGGAAUUGACCGCUCCGAGAGAUCACUUCGGUCCCGAUGGUCGACAAUCAACUCGGAUUGUCAAAGGUGGGCGGCCUGUCAAAAGGCGGUUGACAAGUUGAACCCAAGUGGCACAAAUGAGGACGAUAGAGUAAGUGAAGAGGAGAGGACAACCAAGAAGGGGAAGAUCAAGAAAGGAAGGGUCUUUACCUUGCCCCAUUGCUAUAACGUGUUGAAGGAUGAUGAGAAAUGGAAGAAGCAUGAAGAUUUGGAUGAUUUGCAUUUGAGCAACAAACGCAAGCGAACAAUUAAGUUAGAUGAUGAUGAGGAGGAGGAUGAUGCAUCAAGUGAUGACGGCAAGAGAAGCCCCACACCCAACUCGGUUUCAUACUCGAAGCCAAAGCGACCGGAUGGGUGCAAGAAAGACAAAACCGAAAAGAAGAAGAGGAAAGGAGAUGAUGAGCUCAAAAAUGCUAUGAAAGCUAUUGUGAAGGCAAGAAAAGAAGCCAACGAGGUGAGGAAAAUGGCAAGGAACCAAGAUGCCGCGGCCGAGGAGAGGAGGGUGGCGGCCGAGGAGAGGAAGGUGGCUUUGGAGGAGAGGAAGGUGAGCAAUGAGGAGCGAACUAGAUUGUUGGAAUGGGAGAAGCACUUGUUCUUCUUGGACACAUCUAACCUCAAUGCGGCGCAAAAGGAGUAUGUCAAUCUUGCCCGUGAAGAAGUCUUG